ACCUGGCUGGCUCAGUCAGUAGAGUGUGUGACUCCUGAUCUUAGGGUUAUGAGUUCAAACUCCAUGUUGGGUG
This 73-nucleotide transfer RNA is filed under the name Ailuropoda melanoleuca (giant panda). It matches the Rfam family "tRNA". From Rfam's summary of the family: Transfer RNA (tRNA) molecules are approximately 80 nucleotides in length. Their secondary structure includes four short double-helical elements and three loops (D, anti-codon, and T loops). Further hydrogen bonds mediate the characteristic L-shaped molecular structure. tRNAs have two regions of fundamental functional importance: the anti-codon, which is responsible for specific mRNA codon recognition, and the 3' end, to which the tRNAs corresponding amino acid is attached (by aminoacyl-tRNA synthetases). tRNAs cope with the degeneracy of the genetic code in two manners: having more than one tRNA (with a specific anti-codon) for a particular amino acid; and 'wobble' base-pairing, i.e. permitting non-standard base-pairing at the 3rd anti-codon position. The record is from Rfam by way of RNAcentral. Lineage: Eukaryota; Metazoa; Chordata; Mammalia; Carnivora; Ursidae. RNAcentral also lists the same sequence under 1 other name.